AAGAAGUGUUCCAUUUCACACAGAAGUUAUUAGUGUUCGUAAUGUGGUCUUCACUCAGUAAAUGCCCAGGACGUGUACAUCCACUGUCUCAGUGCUGAGGUGCUAGAGACACUGGAUGACAGCUUGAUUUGAUUCGAGAUGGAAUAAAUUGCAUGUAAGAAAAGGACAAAGCUCUCCUCUCUACAGACAGGCUGCAGUGGCUCUGGGGCUGCUGUGUGUCAUCUUACUGACUGCCACCAUCACCCUGUGUGUCCUCUAUACAAGAGGUCUGGAGGAGCCCAAUGGCCACAAUAGCAC
Molecule: long non-coding RNA, 297 nt
Organism: Conger conger (European conger)
Lineage: Eukaryota; Metazoa; Chordata; Actinopteri; Anguilliformes; Congridae
Exons: 3
Source: RefSeq, a predicted model, not a curated record